This 465-nucleotide ribosomal RNA is filed under the name uncultured bacterium. Its description in RNAcentral is "partial 16S ribosomal RNA". It matches the Rfam family "Bacterial small subunit ribosomal RNA", at positions 28 to 507 of the family's 1533-position model. The record is from RNAcentral.
GACGAACGCUGGCGGCGUGCUUAACACAUGCAAGUCGUACGGUAAGGCCCUUUCGGGGGUCCACGAGUGGCGAACGGGUGAGUAACACGUGAGUAACCUGCCCACAACUUUGGGAUAACGCUAGGAAACUGGUGCUAAUACUGGAUAUGUGCUCCUGCUGCAUGGUGGGGGUUGGAAAGCUCCGGCGGUUGUGGAUGGACUCGCGGCCUAUCAGCUUGUUGGUGGGGUAGUGGCCUACCAAGGCGGCGACGGGUAGCCGGCCUGAGAGGGUGACCGGCCACAUUGGGACUGAGAUACGGCCCAGACACCGACGGGAGGGAGCAGUGGGGAAUAUUGCACAAUGGGCGCAAGCCGGAUGCAGCAACGCCGCGUGCGGGAUGACGGCCUUCGGGUUGAAGACCGCAUUCAGCAGGGACGAAGCUUUUUGUGACGGUACCUGCAGAAGAAGCACCGGCUAACUACGUG